GGAAAAUGGAAAUCAAUGCCAGAUGCACAGGGAACAGCGUUGAAAGCGUUUUCAUUUACGUUUCCAAUUGUUCGUUGGCGAUGCCAACUCCAAUCAGCAGCAGCAAGCAGUAGAAGCGCAAACGUGAACAAUUAAUUCAAUAUUGUUUUAUCCAAUUAAAUGUGAUAUAUUGUUGAGAUAUGAGAUGUUACCUGGGAGCUAAAAUGGUAAAUGCUUUGCCGAGUCUCUGAAUAUGCCGUUCAAAUCGUUUUGUGUCACUGCUUCUAAUCGAAUUAAUGUGCCGGGUUUGGUUACCCUUUAGCAGGCCAAAUCCAGCAGACAAUCCUUUCGGAACCGACCCAAUAUGGUGUCAAUCAAAUGCGGUCAAACUGUCACAGAAGCAGCAUUCAGACUUUGCAGCACUGCAAAAAAGAAACCACAAAAUCAAUUAAUUUUAUUGGCCAUCUUCCUGUGCCGUGCUCUAGCCACAGAACCGCACAGGGGAAACCCGAAGUUCGCUUGUGGUGAAAAACUAUUUCCCAAACAGAAAGCAAUUCGCUUUUAUGGUGACCCUCUCUGUUAGGGUAUCCCAAGUGAAAGUGGCAUUGUAUCAGUCCGAUUCGUCUUGAAAAUAGAGAAAAUCUGACUGAUAAAGUCAUAUUGUCCGAUGAGAUCCAAGGGUGUUUCUCAUUCGUAAGGUGCCUGAAACAAAU
RNAcentral lists this long non-coding RNA (692 nucleotides) under Drosophila guanche. The record is from RNAcentral. Lineage: Eukaryota; Metazoa; Arthropoda; Insecta; Diptera; Drosophilidae.